This 253-nucleotide ribosomal RNA is filed under the name uncultured bacterium. RNAcentral describes it as "partial 16S ribosomal RNA". It matches the Rfam family "Bacterial small subunit ribosomal RNA", at positions 524 to 776 of the family's 1533-position model. The record is from RNAcentral.
UACGGGGGGGGCAAGCGUUGUUCGGAAUUACUGGGCGUAAAGGGUUUGUAGGCGGGUCUUUAAGUCAGGGGGGAAAUCCUGGAGCUCAACUCCAGAACUGCCUUUGAUACUGAAGAUCUUGAGUUCGGGAGAGGUGAGUGGAACUGCGAGUGUAGAGGUGAAAUUCGUAGAUAUUCGCAAGAACACCAGUGGCGAAGGCGGCUCACUGGCCCGAUACUGACGCUGAGGCACGAAAGCGUGGGGAGCAAACAGG